CAAAGAUAAUUUACAUGAACGAAUGAAAUGUGUAUUGUCAUAAACCAUACAACCAUCUUUCCCUUACUCUAGGUGCGGCGUUGAUGCUGGUAACAGUGGUGGGGAUCCCGGCACACAGCCAGCAGGCAUCGGCAGCAUCCUUCCGCCUGGUCACCGCUUACACGUUAAACCGAACUGAUGACUCCACUCAAACAUUUCUCAGAGUGGGGACCUCUCCCUCCACCCGGUCCCUUACCUUGGCUCUGCAGACUGACCUGACUAACUGUGGAUGCAAUGUCACCGGGAAUUACUCAGGUCGCGUCCUCCAGGUGACAGGUGGCUACACAGGUGAUGCGCUCAAAGUCGUGGCGCAGAGGUACCAGCAUGUGGGGGGCGUUGGAUCAGCUGAGGAGUUGGUGAGCGUAGCGUGGCACCCCGAGAAAGAGGGUAAGUGAGGCAGUGCAGCGGAGUCUGGAGGGUCAGUGUUGGUGUGGCAGUAGUGGUGUGAGGGUGCGUCGCUGUGAGCUCUGCCUGGCUGUGACUGGGCCGCUCCAGCCGGGGGUUGCCAGGAUGGGUGGACGGACGGUCAUUGCCAGCGUGCUGGCGGCCAUGCUUGGUGUGCUCAUGAUGGGUGUGCUCUCCCCUAACGCCACGGCCUCCAUCUUCCCCGCCGUUAACACCGCCGCAUCCAGCUAAGGUGCAGUAAAGGUCACGCCAGGACACAGCCACGAGGACUGUCAGGUCAGGGAGAGAUACAGCAUUCCAUUCCUCUCCAUUCUUGACAGCAGUGGAAAGGUCACCAAUAU
Scylla paramamosain (green mud crab) is the source of this 785-nucleotide RNA transcript. RefSeq lists it as uncharacterized. The transcript is spliced from 6 exons. NCBI's taxonomy places the organism in Eukaryota, Metazoa, Arthropoda, Malacostraca, Decapoda, Portunidae. The record is from RefSeq and is a predicted model, not a curated record.